GCGUGCUUAACACAUGCAAGUCGAACGGAAAGGCCCUGCUUUUGUGGGGUGCUCGAGUGGCGAACGGGUGAGUAACACGUGAGUAACCUGCCCUUGACUUUGGGAUAACUUCAGGAAACUGGGGCUAAUACCGGAUAGGAGCUCCUGCUGCAUGGUGGGGGUUGGAAAGUUUCGGCGGUUGGGGAUGGACUCGCGGCUUAUCAGCUUGUUGGUGGGGUAGUGGCUUACCAAGGCUUUGACGGGUAGCCGGCCUGAGAGGGUGACCGGCCACAUUGGGACUGAGAUACGGCCCAGACUCCUACGGGAGGCAGCAGUGGGGAAUAUUGCACAAUGGGCGGAAGCCUGAUGCAGCAACGCCGCGUGCGGGAUGACGGCCUUCGGGUUGUAAACCGCUUUCGCCUGUGACGAAGCGUGAGUGACGGUAAUGGGUAAAGAAGCACCGGCUAACUACGUGCCAGCAGCCGCGGUGAUACGUAGGGUGCGAGCGUUGUCCGGAUUUAUUGGGCGUAAAGGGCUCGUAGGUGGUUGAUCGCGUCGGAAGUGUAAUCUUGGGGCUUAACCCUGAGCGUGCUUUCGAUACGGGUUGACUUGAGGAAGGUAGGGGAGAAUGGAAUUCCUGGUGGAGCGGUGGAAUGCGCAGAUAUCAGGAGGAACACCAGUGGCGAAGGCGGUUCUCUGGGCCUUUCCUGACGCUGAGGAGCGAAAGCGUGGGGAGCGAACAGGCUUAGAUACCCUGGUAGUCCACGCUGUAAACGGUGGGUACUAGGUGUGGGGUCCAUUCCACGGGUUCCGUGCCGUAGCUAACGCUUUAAGUACCCCGCCUGGGGAGUACGGCCGCAAGGCUAAAACUCAAAGGAAUUGACGGGGCCCCGCACAAGCGGCGGAGCAUGCGGAUUAAUUCGAUGCAACGCGUAGAACCUUACCUGGGUUUGACAUGGAUCGGGAGUGCUCAGAGAUGGGUGUGCCUCUUUUGGGGUCGGUUCACAGGUGGUGCAUGGCUGUCGUCAGCUCGUGUCGUGAGAUGUUGGGUUAAGUCCCGCAACGAGCGCAACCCUUGUUCACUGUUGCCAGCACGUUAUGGUGGGGACUCAGUGGAGACCGCCGGGGUCAACUCGGAGGAAGGUGGGGAUGACGUCAAGUCAUCAUGCCCCUUAUGUCCAGGGCUUCACGCAUGCUACAAUGGCUGGUACAGAGAGUGGCGAGCCUGUGAGGGUGAGCGAAUCUCGGAAAGCCGGUCUCAGUUCGGAUUGGGGUCUGCAACUCGACCUCAUGAAGUCGGAGUCGCUAGUAAUCGCAGAUCAGCAACGCUGCGGUGAAUACGUUCCCGGGGCUUGUACACACCGCCCGUCAAGUCAUGAAAGUUGGUAACACCCGAAGCCGGUGGCCUAACCGUUGUGGGGGAGCCGUCGAAGGUGGGACUGGUGAUUAGGAC
This 1432-nucleotide ribosomal RNA is filed under the name uncultured organism. Its description in RNAcentral is "partial small subunit ribosomal RNA". It matches the Rfam family "Bacterial small subunit ribosomal RNA". The record is from RNAcentral.